CCUACGGGAGGCAGCAGUGGGGAAUAUUGCACAAUGGGGGGAACCCUGAUGCAGCGACGCCGCGUGAGUGAAGAAGUAUUUCGGUAUUUAAAGCUCUAUCAGCAGGGAAGAAAAUGACGGUACCUGACUAAGACCCCCCGGCUAACUACGUGCCAGCACCCGCGGUAAUACGUAGGGGGCAAGCGUUAUCCGGAUUUACGGGGGGUAAAGGGAGCGUAGAGGGUUAUGCAAGUCUGAAGUAAAAGCCCAAGGCUAAACCAUGGGACUGCUUUGAAAACUGUAAAACUGGAGUGCAGGAGGGGUAGGCGGAAUUCCGGGUGUAGCGGUGAAAUGGGUAGAUAUUAGGGGGAACACCAGUGGCGAGGGCGGCUUACUGAACUGUAACUGACGUUGAGGCUCGAAGGGGUGGGGAGCAAACAGGAUUAGAUACCCUUGUGGC
RNAcentral lists this ribosomal RNA (439 nucleotides) under uncultured bacterium. RNAcentral describes it as "partial 16S ribosomal RNA". It matches the Rfam family "Bacterial small subunit ribosomal RNA", at positions 338 to 794 of the family's 1533-position model. The record is from RNAcentral.